AGCGUAGGUGGCUUGAUAAGUCAGAUGUGAAAUCCCCGGGCUUAACCUGGGAACUGCAUCUGAUACUGUUGGGCUAGAGUAGGUGAGAGGGAGGUAGAAUUUCAGGUGUAGCGGUGAAAUGCGUAGAGAUCUGAAGGAAUACCGAUGGCGAAGGCAGCCUCCUGGCAUCAUACUGACACUGAGGUUCGAAAGCGUGGGUAGCAAACA
Molecule: ribosomal RNA, 207 nt
Filed under: uncultured Psychrobacter sp.
Lineage: Bacteria; Pseudomonadati; Pseudomonadota; Gammaproteobacteria; Moraxellales; Moraxellaceae
Description: partial 16S ribosomal RNA
Rfam family: Bacterial small subunit ribosomal RNA
Source: RNAcentral